This 445-nucleotide ribosomal RNA is filed under the name uncultured bacterium. RNAcentral's name for it is "partial 16S ribosomal RNA". It matches the Rfam family "Bacterial small subunit ribosomal RNA", at positions 354 to 796 of the family's 1533-position model. The record is from RNAcentral.
GUGAGGAAUAUUGCGCAAUGGAGGCAACUCUGACGCAGCCAUGCCGCGUGCAGGAAGAAGGCGCUACGCGUUGUAAACUGCUUUUAACCGGGAAGAAACCCCAGGACGUGUCCUGGGUUGACGGUACCGGAGGAAUAAGCACCGGCUAACUUCGUGCCAGCAGCCGCGGUAAUACGAAGGGUGCAAGCGUUAUCCGGAUUCAUUGGGUUUAAAGGGUGCGUAGGCGGAGCGUUAAGUCAGUGGUGAAAUCCUGCAGCUUAACUGUAGACUUGCCAUUGAUACUGGCGCUCUUGAGUGCGCUUGAAGUGGGCGGAAUGUGCCGUGUAGCGGUGAAAUGCUUAGAUAUGGCACAGAACACCAAUUGCGAAGGCAGCUCACUAAGGCGAUACUGACGCUGAGGCACGAAAGCGUGGGGAUCGAACAGGAUUAGAUACUCGAGUAGUCC